Pteronotus mesoamericanus is the source of this 211-nucleotide small nucleolar RNA. RefSeq annotates it as small nucleolar RNA U3. The transcript has a single exon. The record is from RefSeq and is a predicted model, not a curated record. NCBI's taxonomy places the organism in Eukaryota, Metazoa, Chordata, Mammalia, Chiroptera, Mormoopidae.
AAUACUAUACUUUCAGGGAUCAUUUCUAUAGUUUGUUACUAGAGAAGUUUCUAUGAAUGUGUAGAGCGCCUGAAACCAUGAGGAGGAGCCAUAGUGUUCUCCUGAGUGUGAAGCUGGCUUUGGUGUUGCUUUUGUAAUUGCUAAUAGCCACUGGUGAUUGUUCUUCUUUUCCUUUGGAAGAGUAAGAGGGAGAGAACGCAGUCUGAGUGGU